RNAcentral lists this ribosomal RNA (829 nucleotides) under uncultured Actinomycetes bacterium. RNAcentral's name for it is "bacterial SSU rRNA". It matches the Rfam family "Bacterial small subunit ribosomal RNA", at positions 616 to 1447 of the family's 1533-position model. The record is from RNAcentral. Lineage: Bacteria; Bacillati; Actinomycetota; Actinomycetes.
CUGACCUGCAUUCGAUACGGUCUAGCUAGAGUGUGGUAGGGGAGACUGGAAUUCCUGGUGUAGCGGUGGAAUGCGCAGAUAUCAGGAGGAACACCGAUGGCGAAGGCAGGUCUCUGGGCCAUUACUGACACUGAGGAGCGAAAGCGUGGGGAGCGAACAGGAUUAGAUACCCUGGUAGUCCACGCCGUAAACGGUGGGCGCUAGUUGUGCGAACCUUCCACGGUUUGUGCGACGCAGCUAACGCAUUAAGCGCCCCGCCUGGGGAGUACGAUCGCAAGAUUAAAACUCAAAGGAAUUGACGGGGCCCCGCACAAGCAGCGGAGCAUGCGGCUUAAUUCGACGCAACGCGAAGAACCUUACCAAGGCUUGACAUAUACAGGAAUACGGCAGAGAUGUCGUAGCCGCAAGGUCUGUAUACAGGUGGUGCAUGGUUGUCGUCAGCUCGUGUCGUGAGAUGUUGGGUUAAGUCCCGCAACGAGCGCAACCCUCGUUCUGUGUUGCCAGCAUUUAGUUGGGGACUCACAGGAGACUGCCGGGGUUAACUCGGAGGAAGGUGGGGAUGACGUCAAAUCAUCAUGCCCCUUAUGUCUUGGGCUGCACGCAUGCUACAAUGGCUGGUACAAACGGCUGCAAUACCGCAAGGUGGAGCGAAUCCGAGAAAGCCAGUCUCAGUUCGGAUUGGGGUCUGCAACUCGACCCCAUGAAGUCGGAGUUGCUAGUAAUCGUAGAUCAGCAACGCUACGGCGAAUACGUUCCCGGGGCUUGUACACACCGCCCGUCACGUCACGAAAGUCGGUAACACCCGAAGCCGGUGGCCUAACCGUAAGGA